GAUGAAGAACUUAGCGAAAUGCGAUAAGUAAUGUGAAUUGCAGAAUUCAGUGAAUCAUCGAAUCUUUGAACGCACAUUGCGCCCGCCAGUAUUCUGGCGGGCAUGCCUGUUCGUGCGUCAUUACAACCCUCAGGCCCCCGGGCCUGGCGUUGGGGAUCGGCGGAAGCCCCCUGCGGGCACAACGCCGUCCCCCAAAUACAGUGGCGGUCCCGCCGCAGCUUCCAUUGCGUAGUAGCUAACACCUCGCAACUGGAGAGCGGCGCGGCCACGCCGUAAAACACCCAACUUCUGAAUGUUGACCUCGAAUCAGGUAGGAAUACCCGCUGAACUUAAGCAUAUCAAUAAGCGGAGGA
This 353-nucleotide unclassified non-coding RNA is filed under the name soil metagenome. RNAcentral's name for it is "partial contains 5.8S ribosomal RNA, internal transcribed spacer 2, and large subunit ribosomal RNA". The stretch from base 1 to 120 matches the Rfam family "5.8S ribosomal RNA", at positions 35 to 154 of the family's 154-position model. The record is from RNAcentral.